Molecule: long non-coding RNA, 779 nt
Organism: Aplysia californica (California sea hare)
Lineage: Eukaryota; Metazoa; Mollusca; Gastropoda; Aplysiida; Aplysiidae
Source: RefSeq, a predicted model, not a curated record
AAGUGAAAGAGAGAAAGAGAAAGCGUCUCUUUCUGCCUCAGUGUUUGGAUAAGCCCGCGACAGGUGCGCGUCCAAUGGGCAGCGGGCUGCUCGUGACGUCAGAACACAGUCAAUGGCGGAGAGAACAACACACAAUUCGAAAACAAUGGAAGUUAGCAGCGAACUGACAGGAUUGUAGAUCUGCACACAGUUUACCGAAUCUGUUGUGUCAACUUCUCUACCCUUGGACUAGAUCUGUGUGUGUGCGUCUCAAGUGAUUGGGAUCGGAUGCUGGGAGGGAAAGUAAGGCAGUCUCCACCUAUGAAUAAACGUGAAAUGUGUGCAAGUCAAAUGUGAGAACAAAAUGCCUCCUGUUUCAAUUUUGAGGAAACGGACUCAAUGAAGAGAUUCCACGGACGUACUGAGGGAUGUGUGUAGUUUGCUACCAGUGAGGAUUUAAAUUCUCUCUGAUUGAAGAUUGAAGAGUGGAUUGUCUGGAUGAUUGCGAUGUCUAGUUUGUGCUGUGGACAGCUGUGCCAAGGCCAUGUCUUCCUAUGAUGAGUUACUGAAACAGGUGGCGUCUCUGAAGUCGGAGAACUGCCAGCUCCGUCGGGAGCUCAAGGACAACUCGAGUCACCUGACCAAACUGGAAAACGACGCAUGCAACAUGAAAGAUGUUCUCUCCCACAUUGAGGUGACAUUUGCGGGGGCGAGCGGUGGGGAUCGCACCGAGGCCGGGGAGGAGAGAGCCGUGGACAGCGAGGAUUAUGGGAAGGAGACGGGAGCCGAAGAUCUGAAUG